UACGGAGGAUGCGAGCGUUGUCCGGAUUUACUGGGUUUAAAGGGUGCGUAGGCGGGCGAUUAAGUGAGAAUUGAAAGGCAGUCGCUCAACGAUUGUAAGGUUCUCAUACUGGUUGUCUUGAGAGUAGUGGAGGCAGAUGGAAUGAGUGGAGUAGCGGUGAAAUGCAUAGAUACCCCGUGGAACACCGAUUGCGAAGGCAGUCUGCUACGCUAUAUCUGACGCUGAGGCAAGAAAGCGUGGGGAGCAAACAGG
This 252-nucleotide ribosomal RNA is filed under the name uncultured bacterium. RNAcentral's name for it is "partial 16S ribosomal RNA". It matches the Rfam family "Bacterial small subunit ribosomal RNA", at positions 524 to 776 of the family's 1533-position model. The record is from RNAcentral.